This 772-nucleotide ribosomal RNA is filed under the name Vagitanus terminalis. RNAcentral's name for it is "SSU rRNA". It matches the Rfam family "Eukaryotic small subunit ribosomal RNA", at positions 965 to 1753 of the family's 1831-position model. Lineage: Eukaryota; Metazoa; Arthropoda; Insecta; Hemiptera; Cicadidae. The record is from RNAcentral.
UUUGCCAAGAAUGUUCCCGUUAAUCAAGAACGAAAGUUAGAGGUUCGAAGGCGAUCAGAUACCGCCCUAGUUCUAACCAUAAACGAUGCCAGCCAGCGAUCCGCCGAAGUUCCUCCGAUGACUCGGCGGGCAGCUUCCGGGAAACCAAAGCUUUUGGGUUCCGGGGGAAGUAUGGUUGCAAAGCUGAAACUUAAAGGAAUUGACGGAAGGGCACCACCAGGAGUGGAGCCUGCGGCUUAAUUUGACUCAACACGGGAAACCUCACCAGGCCCGGACACCGGAAGGAUUGACAGAUUGAGAGCUCUUUCUUGAUUCGGUGGGUGGUGGUGCAUGGCCGUUCUUAGUUGGUGGAGCGAUUUGUCUGGUUAAUUCCGGUAACGAACGAGACUCUAGCCUGCUAAAUAGACGAUUUCCGGUAUCCACAAUAGUGCUACCGGCGAAAUCAAUAUCUUCUUAGAGGGACAGGCGGCUUUCAGCCGCACGAAACUGAGCAAUAACAGGUCUGUGAUGCCCUUAGAUGUCCUGGGCCGCACGCGCGCUACACUGAAGGAAUCAGCGUGUAUACCCUGGCCGAAAGGCUCGGGCAACCCGUUGAACCUCCUUCGUGCUAGGGAUUGGGGCUUGCAAUKGUUCCCCAUGAACSAGGAAUUCCCAGUAAGCGCGAGUCAUAAGCUCGCGUUGAUUACGUCCCUGCCCUUUGUACACACCGCCCGUCGCUACUACCGAUUGAAUGAUUUARUGAGGUSUUSGRAMWGGUGCGCGGCGGCCGCAU